AGAGUUUGAUCCUGGCUCAGGAUGAACGCUGGCGGCGUGCUUAACACAUGCAAGUCGAACGAUUAACCCGCCCUCGGGCGGUUAUAGAGUGGCGAACGGGUGAGUAACACGUGACCAACCUGCCCCUUGCUCCGGGACAACCCAGGGAAACCUCGGCUAAUACCGGAUACUCCGCGCAGCCCGCAUGGGAGGCGCGGGAAAGCCCAGACGGCAAGGGAUGGGGUCGCGGCCCAUUAGGUAGACGGCGGGGUAACGGCCCACCGUGCCCGCGAUGGGUAGCCGGGUUGAGAGACCGAUCGGCCACAUUGGGACUGAGAUACGGCCCAGACUCCUACGGGAGGCAGCAGUGGGGAAUUUUGCGCAAUGGGGGAAACCCUGACGCAGCAACGCCGCGUGCGGGACGAAGGCCUUCGGGUUGUAAACCGCUUUCAGCAGGGAAUAUAGUGAAGGUACCUGCAGAAGAAGCUCCGGCUAACUACGUGCCAGCAGCCGCGGUAAUACGUAGGGAGCGAGCGUUAUCCGGAUUCAUUGGGCGUAAAGCGCGCGUAGGCGGCCCGUCAAGCGGGGUUUCAAAUCCAGGGGCUCAACCUCUGGCCGGACCCCGAACUGGCGGGCUCGAGUGCGGUAGAGGAAGGUGGAAUUCCCAGUGUAGCGGUGAAAUGCGCAGAUAUUGGGAAGAACACCGAUGGCGAAGGCAGCCUUCUGGGCCGCCACUGACGCUGAGGCGCGAAAGCUAGGGGAGCGAACAGGAUUAGAUACCCUGGUAGUCCUAGCCGUAAACGAUGGGCACUAGGUGUGGGGGAGCAUCUCCUCCGUGCCGCAGCCAACGCAUUAAGUGCCCCGCCUGGGGAGUACGGCCGCAAGGCUAAAAC
This 872-nucleotide ribosomal RNA is filed under the name human gut metagenome. Its description in RNAcentral is "bacterial SSU rRNA". It matches the Rfam family "Bacterial small subunit ribosomal RNA", at positions 8 to 900 of the family's 1533-position model. The record is from RNAcentral.